This 429-nucleotide ribosomal RNA is filed under the name Chloroflexota bacterium. RNAcentral describes it as "Chloroflexi bacterium partial 16S ribosomal RNA". It matches the Rfam family "Bacterial small subunit ribosomal RNA", at positions 355 to 776 of the family's 1533-position model. Lineage: Bacteria; Bacillati; Chloroflexota. The record is from RNAcentral.
UGGGGAAUAUUGCACAAUGGGCGCAAGCCUGAUGCAGCCAUGCCGCGUGUAUGAAGAAGGCCUUCGGGUUGUAAAGUACUUUCAGCGGGGAGGAAGGGAGUAAAGUUAAUACCUUUGCUCAUUGACGUUACCCGCAGAAGAAGCACCGGCUAACUCCGUGCCAGCAGCCGCGGUAAUACGGAGGGUGCAAGCGUUAAUCGGAAUUACUGGGCGUAAAGCGCACGCAGGCGGUUUGUUAAGUCAGAUGUGAAAUCCCCGGGCUCAACCUGGGAACUGCAUCUGAUACUGGCAAGCUUGAGUCUCGUAGAGGGGGGUAGAAUUCCAGGUGUAGCGGUGAAAUGCGUAGAGAUCUGGAGGAAUACCGGUGGCGAAGGCGGCCCCCUGGACGAGGACUAACGCUCAGGUGCGAAAGCGUGGGGAGCAAACAGG